This 465-nucleotide ribosomal RNA is filed under the name uncultured bacterium. RNAcentral's name for it is "partial 16S ribosomal RNA". It matches the Rfam family "Bacterial small subunit ribosomal RNA", at positions 28 to 507 of the family's 1533-position model. The record is from RNAcentral.
GACGAACGCUGGCGGCGUGCUUAACACAUGCAAGUCGAACGGAAAGGCCCCCUUGUGGGGUACUCGAGUGGCGAACGGGUGAGUAACACGUGAGUAACCUACCCUUGACUUUGGGAUAACUUCAGGAAACAGGGGCUAAUACCGGCUAGGAGCUCCUGCUGCAUGGUGGGGGUUGGAAAGUUUCGGCGGUUGGGGAUGGACUCGCGGCUUAUCAGCUUGUUGGUGGGGUAGUGGCUCACCAAGGCUUUGACGGGUAGCCGGCCUGAGAGGGUGACCGGCCACAUUGGGACUGAGAUACGGCCCAGACUCCUACGGGAGGCAGCAGUGGGGAAUAUUGCACAAUGGGCGGAAGCCUGAUGCAGCAACGCCGCGUGCGGGAUGACGGCCUUCGGGUUGUAAACCGCUUUCGCCUGUGACGAAGCGUGAGUGACGGUAAUGGGUAAAGAAGCACCGGCUAACUACGUG